UCACAAUUUCGUAAGGGUUUUUGGUCGCCUCCUUCGUAAGCUCCGUCGAUUUUGUCAACUCUUCUUUCCAUACAGCUGAGCUCUUCAAUGGCCGAUCCAUCUCUUCUUCAGCCUCUUCUGUUAGUCUGCAGAGUUUCAAUUUCUGUCUGAAGCUUUCCUCAACAUUUUCGUUUGCUUUGGAUGCGCUGCGCAGGUAUUUCUUUAUCAGUUAACCUAACUUUCUCCGAUUGCUAAUUUGUCUUGCGUAGAUACAGCUAGAAUCAACGAUUUACAUGCUCAGCAAGAGAAAACUACCUAAAACUUACCACCGAAGAAAACACAAAUAGCAUUUCACAUUUUUUCUGGUAGUGCCACAAAUCGGUCAAACUGAUAAAUCUCUAAAAUUGCCCCUCCAAACCGCAAAAGUCCCUUUCACACUUUCACUGCUUAGAACCUGCCGCUUUCAACGGUUUCUGCUUUUCUCUUUUCUCUAUUGUUUAUGCUUUCAAUUUCACAGCUUUGUACUCUUCAGUUUUGGGAUAGCUUUUGCCUUCUUCCUGCUAUGUACACUCUUUUCCGUCUUUAGUUAUGUUAUAGUUGAAAGUAUUUACUGCUUUAUUCUCUCUUAUUUAUGUUAUAGUUGAAAGUAUUUAGUGCUUUAUUCUCUCUUAUUUAUAUAGUUGUGGAGUUAGCAUUCAUGUAUUCUUUUAUUAGCCUGCUUUAUUUCUCGAUAACCUUAAAGUUAUUACUUCAAAUUUAUUUAUUAUGUUUAUAGAUCUUUCUAUGUUUUAUGUCUUCUCUUAAUAAUAUAUUCACUUUAUUCUGAUUUGUACACACAACUAUACUCUUAUUGUGCUUACUGAUCUUUUCUCAAAAUUUAACAGACGAAACCAUUAUGAAAGUUUACAUCACUGCUUCCGUCUGUACAUAAUGAUUGGAUGAACAUGAUUCUCCUUUUUCUAUGGCAGUCUGUGCAACUCGCAACAAAAUCAUCGUUAAUACUUCAUUUAUAUGCUACAAAUGCUUCCCUUUGCCUUCUUCAUUUUCAAUUCUUAGGUAGAGUUGUAUGUUGUCCAAUGCACAUAUUCUUGUUGUUCACUGCAGUGAUAAAGUUCAACAGUCAAUAUAUUGCCCCAAUCUUUUCCUGAAAAUAGUACAUCUUACUUUUCCCCCAUCAAUUUCGUGCACCUGUUGUUGUUUGUUCCUCUUCUGUUAGAUUAAGCUGAUAUCCACUUCACUCUACUGAUGUCAAACACAUUACUAUGCCAACACUGUUGUUCUGCUUUUUAUUUGUUCUUUAUUCUGUUUUUUCUUUCAUACAUACAAAUUUUAUUAUGCUUGUACAGUUUAUAUGUCAUACAACUGAAUAGUAAGAGCUACAACUCUGAAGUAGUAUAGUUUCUGUGCUCAUUUUGCCUGUAGCUGCUUUGCUUCUAUGACAUUGUCAAUCUCCUACUUUCCCAUGCUCACAUUCUACAGCUGUAUAUGAUACAUGCUAUGUCAUCUUUUCUAAUUUUGUAAUUUAUCUUCAUUCUUUGUCCUAACUUGCUUUUGCAAGAGUUUCUUACUGCUUUCUUGCUACAUCAAACAGUCAUUUAUGUGGCUACAAGCUGCAUUUUACUCUGCACUGCUGCUUUCAUUUGAUUCCUUUUCCCCUUUUCUCUAAACAUCUGAAACAAUGUACUGUUUUGUUAGGACUUCAUUAUCUAACUUCAGUUUUAUAUUUUACUCUUUUCUUCUACAGAACUUCCCCCUUUUUUACAUUAAAUGCCUGCAAACCACCUAUUACUGUAAACUAUUAAAUGUUACUUCAUACACUUUUGUUUCCUCAUAAUCUACUGAUUGUUUAUGGUUAAUGUCUGCUCUUUUCAGUUACACAAAAGAUAUACACCAUAGCGUUCAUUUCUCCACCAUGAUUUCUUUGCAUUACUGCAAAACCUGCUACUGAAAUAUUUCCCUAAGCCUUUCUUCUAUUACAAUGUUUUUGUUCGAACAUCAAUCUUUCACAAAAUUUACUGUACAAUGCUAUUGUCAUCUUUUCUUCCUAAAAAAUCUUAGCUCUGCAUAUCCACAUUUUUAUCUAAUUUGUUCUUGCAUGUUUCACAAUAAAAGUUUGGGUGCCUUUCCUUUUUCCAGUAGUUUUACUUCAGCUACUUUGAGCUGUUUCGCGGUUAAAAAUUAACUAGAGGAAACAAUUCAACAUGCAAAUAAACUGUCUGCUGAAAGUUUUCAUUCAACAUGAAAUUUCCAUUCAUUCACAUUAGGUAACAAUACUGAUGAUCAAAUAUCCCAUUUUUGCAUCACUUGACAUUCACACAUAGUCGUAAAUUGUUGAUAUCAUGACAUUCUUGCUCUACAUUGUGCGACACUUUUCUUUAACAGAACAGUGUUACUGAACACGUUGCCCUUUUUCCUCUGUUAAAUUACCCCACUUGUUAAUCCUUACGUGACUUUGAUACUGUGGGAACUGAUAUAGUCUCUUAAUAAUCGGUUUUACUUAUUUCUAAUUUUAACACUUACUAUCCAAAAAUUCCUAUAUGUAUUUACUUAUAUCAGUCUUUGUAUUCACUUCUAUUUCCUGCAACUAUAGUAGUCACAUGCUUUACAUUUUCUUUCUCCGUAUUUUUCUUUCAGUUUACCAAAAUACAAUGCUUUGUAUUCAUGCCUCUUUCUUUUAUUCCAUUUCGGAAUGGAAUAAUUUCACCAAAUGCCGUGCAAAUGUGCAUGUUCACCAUAGCAUAGGUUGUAGGCUUAAACAAGCUACAAUAAUCUUACUCUAACAUUACACAAUAAUGGAAGAUUGUCAAAAAAACAAAAACCAACCAACUGUAACAUCAAUACAACACGGAGGCUUCAAGUGAUAAAAUUAGUAUACACCACAGUCCCAAUUUUGCCAGUAUGACACCAAAUCUUUCCACUGAAAGGUCAAUCACUUCAACUCUGUUGAAGUAGCUUCGGUUUGACAGCUUUAUCAAACAAAAUUCUACGUUAAACACUUGUAGUAGUGAAAUACUCAUGUAUAUAUAAAUUAAAGUGCAAAUGAAAACACACACUUAAAGGGAACACACAGUUUCAUUUUAGGAUUCUUCGUAGGUUGACUAUCGACUUUUUGUCGCUUCCCCUGCAAGUCAGUCCAGCAAAUUUUGGAGCUGCGUUUGUCUCAGCUCUACUCUUCUCAGCUUUCGCGUCAAUAAUUAACUCAUUCUGAUCUUCUGCAUUUCAUUCCACACAAUUCUUUAUCAUCUUAUCUAAUAAAGCUACUCAAAUUUUACAUAAGCUACUAUCAAACAUCUUCAUUUAUUGGGUCUUUUAUUUUUUUACAGAAAUUUAAUAAAUCGGUUGUUUCAGAUUCCUUUAAAUUGCCACAAACAGAGAAAGAGCAAUUGCAGUUCAGGUAACAAUCUUUUUGACCUUAUAUUUGAAUAGCUUAUUGCUUUCUUUCUGUUAGUCAUUCUACAGGUACUUUUUCCCAUUCAUUUUUCCUUUCUUACGUUUUCUUUUGAUUCUUACCUUGCCUAUCAUAAACUGUAUGUUAUUUUCCUAUAUAUAUGCAUGCUUUAGAAUGUAAAUAAAUAUGUAUACAACUUUGCUGUACAGAGUGCAUCUGUCACCAUUUUUUCCAAUUGUGCACCGGUUCUCAAACGGCCAAUAAUACCAGCCACAACUGUCACUGCGAAU
This 3657-nucleotide long non-coding RNA is filed under the name Solanum tuberosum (potato). RNAcentral's name for it is "long non-coding RNA (STUB_LNC002134)". Lineage: Eukaryota; Viridiplantae; Streptophyta; Magnoliopsida; Solanales; Solanaceae. The record is from RNAcentral.